UGGGCUUGACAUGUAGGUCAUACCCGUGGAAACACGGGGUCAGUUCGGCUGGACCUUCACAGGUGGUGCAUGGCUGUCGUCAGCUCGUGUCGUGAGAUGUUGGGUUAAGUCCCGCAACGAGCGCAACCCCCGUCGUAUGUUGCCAGCAUUUAGUUGGGGACUCAUGCGAGACUGCCGGUGACAAACCGGAGGAAGGUGGGGAUGACGUGUGCGUAACAGAA
Molecule: unclassified non-coding RNA, 221 nt
Filed under: uncultured Solirubrobacteraceae bacterium
Lineage: Bacteria; Bacillati; Actinomycetota; Thermoleophilia; Solirubrobacterales; Solirubrobacteraceae
Description: contains 16S-23S intergenic spacer region
Rfam family: Bacterial small subunit ribosomal RNA
Source: RNAcentral